UACAGAGGUCUCAAGCGUUGUUCGGAUUCAUUGGGCGUAAAGGGCGCGUAGGCUGCGGGGCAAGUCGGGUGUGAAAUCUCAGAGCUCAACUCUGAAACUGCACUCGAUACUGCUUUGCUCGAGUGCGGAAGGGGCAAUCGGAAUUCUUGGUGUAGCGGUGAAAUGCGUAGAGAUCGGAAGGAACAUCAGUGGCGAAGGCGGCUACCUGGACAGAUACUGACACUGAGGCGCGAAAGCGUGGGGAGCAAACAGG
This 253-nucleotide ribosomal RNA is filed under the name uncultured bacterium. Its description in RNAcentral is "partial 16S ribosomal RNA". It matches the Rfam family "Bacterial small subunit ribosomal RNA", at positions 524 to 776 of the family's 1533-position model. The record is from RNAcentral.